CCUUCUUUCUACAUACCCUUUCAAAAUCAAUUUCAAGUCAGUCAUAAGACCAGGAGCAAAUGCUCUAAUCUCAAACCCAUGAGACCCACAGAGGCCUUUGAAAUGUAUAGACAUCCAUGUGCUAUCAAACACCCAAUCCACAUGGACCUGGAACAUCAAGAAAAUAUCCAUCAUGAUUUAGCCUAAUCAUGGUAACCCGCAAUUAUGCUCAUUACCAGUUAAUACUUCACAGAGAUCAUCACCUUCAACCCACGGCAACUUCCAUAUUUACCAGUCAUAUUUGACAAUUGUGAUGUCCAAAUUUUAAGAGAUUUUAUAUUCUUUUGUGGUCAGAUAGCAGAUAUAAAACUAGAGGAAGUUGCUAGAGUAUAUUACUUAUGCCACUUAUCUUAUUUACAUACCCACAUACUUUUUUAGUACACUGCCAUUUUUGUGUCCCCUGUGACACAAUAAAUUCUCCCAUCAGAUAGUUUGGAAAUUAGUUGAGUCAAGCAACCACCUAACUAAAAGAUCUAGCUAUUAGCAUGAAAUCUAAAUUAGUAACAAAGCAACUUCAUUUUUCUGUUUGGUCAUUGAACAUAAGGAAAGAUGCAAAAUCACAUCAGCCUAUCCUAGGCACAAGGUCCUACAAUUCUUAAGCAAUAGGACCAAGGCAACUUGGCUCCAUAAGCCUCCACACCAUGCAUGUCAUGUCACAGGUAUUAACAACAUCAUCACACGUAUGAAUGCUUCGAAAUCUUUGAGGACAUUUGAGGGAUUUGAACCUAGAACCAUCUUCAAAGAGAUAAGGUACCCACUGCAGGGGCCAUGCCCAGGUUGGCAGCAAAGUCAUGUCAUGUGCAAUAAAUGAGCAAUUUUAACAGUAAAACAAUGUCAACUCAACUAACUUCUCAUACUUCUUGCAAUUGUGUCAUAAUAACUUUACUGGAUUAUAUCAACCUCUAACAGAAUCUAUUAAGUCAUACAGACUGUACAUUAAGUGUAAACAAACCUACAGAAAACCACUGUGUUCAUUCCAGCAAACUCAGAACAAUCCCACUAUGCCUCAAAUUCCCUUCACAGCACAUACAGAUAUAAUUAAUAGGAAGUAAAGUAAAAACAAUAUUGAAAGGAGAGUUGACCAUUUAGUUAAUGAUUUUCUUUUUGUUUUUUAAAUAGAAAAUGAUGAAUCUAAAGUUUCUUCAAUUCAGAUCAAUAUCUAUUAUCAAAUAAUGCAUAAACCAAUGCUAGAAUUGAACCAAGAUUGUGUAAGUAUAAAAAAAAGAGUUUGCCCAAUUCUCUUCACUGAAAUAUUAAAACAUUCUGAUAAACUUAAACGGAAUGGAUUGAAUAUUCGUAUAAUCUAACCUAGAAACAUAUUAUUUCACAUGUUCCCAUUAUUCAUGAGCUAGACUUGGCUACACUUGAGUGGAUCUCUAUUUAGAUCCGGUCAGGUCUACAUUGGACAAUGGGGAUCUUGAAUUAAUGAUCCGAAAUAUGGUACAUGAUCUAUUACCUCUAAACUGCUUACAUACCAAAAAUCAUAUAAUUUGAAGACCCCUAACCUAUGCAUCUGAAAUUAAAUUAUAUCUAAUUUUUGAUCACUUGAUGGCUAAAGAUCUCCAAAUCAUAUGAUUUUUGAUAUGUAAGUAGUUUAAAGAUAGUACAUCACAUCCAAUAGCUCAGAUCAACGAUUUGGGACCGUUAUUGUCCAACGUCAGAUCUCGCCAAGUCCAGCUCCAUUAUUCAUACUAUAUAAUUUUCUACUAAGCACAAAUUUCUCAUCAAAAGAAAGCACAAAACUUUAUGACUUGCCAAAUAAUUGUCUGAAGGGGAUUAAAAAAAAUUAUACAAACUCAAAUAUGAACAUCUCAAAAUCAUAUCUUAGACAAACAGAGGCUGAUCGAACAACUCGAAAAAACCCAGCCAAAGAUGUCCAAAAAUAGGUGAAGAACACAUCUUUAACCACCCUGACACCAACUCACCAACCGUAACCAUAAAAUGUAACGGCAUACCCUCAGAAAAAUCACAAACUCACACCAACCGCAGCAAGCAAAACAGCACAAGACCAAAUAAAACCAACAGCUGAAUCCCAAAAAAAAAAAAGAAAAAGAAAAAAGAAAGAAGCGGCAGGCUAAUAACUUCACGAUUACAAGACAAGGGAUCAGAAAUUCGCACGCAAACACGAACAGCCGGGAAAUCAAAGCAGAGCAAUCGCUAACUACAUGAUUCAAUCGAGAGAAUUUGCGAUCCCCUUACCCUAAUUUGGUCGAAGUACGGGGAUUGGAAGUGAGCGGGGGAGCAUGUACUUACCAAGGGGAAGCCAAUAGAGCAGCUUGGGAGCAAGACACAGGAUUUGGAGGAAUGAGAGGAGAGCGUAGAACAAAAACAGUUCCAGCUUUCUGCGCCGAGAACUGGGGGGUUUUAAGUGUGAAUGGGGAAG
RNAcentral lists this long non-coding RNA (2422 nucleotides) under Elaeis guineensis (African oil palm). RNAcentral's name for it is "long non-coding RNA (EGUI_LNC022447)". The record is from RNAcentral. Lineage: Eukaryota; Viridiplantae; Streptophyta; Magnoliopsida; Arecales; Arecaceae.